GGGCAGUGAAAUUUAUUGAAAUAAUUUAAAAAUAUUAGAAAUUAAAUUAACGAGUAAGAGGACCUAAAAUAAAUUAGAUUAGUUAUUUAGCAGAAAGAAUUGAAAUGAACUGGACUGAUGUUAAAAAUUUAUCUAUUAUGAAAUAACUCUGAGAGCCUUAGUUAUUAUGAAAUAAUCAAAAAUAACCUGAAAGUAUUGAAUUAAACGAUACAAAAGAUUAGUGAUAGAAUUAUAAUUUCAAUAAAUGUUACAAUGAACUAUGUUUUAUUUUCAUCUGUAUUUUGUAUAUUAUUUUCUUUGUUAUAUUA
Molecule: unclassified non-coding RNA, 308 nt
Filed under: Hevea brasiliensis (rubber tree)
Lineage: Eukaryota; Viridiplantae; Streptophyta; Magnoliopsida; Malpighiales; Euphorbiaceae
Source: RNAcentral